UUCAUGUGGGUGUGAAAGACCAGUAACCUCAGCGGAUAUACACACAGAAAAAUAAUUUUAAAAUAUUUAUUUUUAUGAAUUUUCAUUUUCAUAAAAAAUUUCUCAUAGUAUCCCCACAGCCAAUUUUCCCCAGAGUAGAAAAUCAUAUCAGGAAGCCCCUGAAAAUAUCAAUAAAACACCAACCUACAGAUAAUCUAAAUGAAAAUCAUGCCAAGGGCUGGAUUUGCAGUUUGGGUCCUCCUUAUCAUUUCAGGAAACAUCAUUGAUGAGAGUUUAAUCCCAAGUAAGAGAGAAAAUAAAACAAAAACACCUUAAAACAGGCAGGGCAGGAAGAACGUCGGGAACCUUAGGAGAUCCUCUCAUUAGUGCAUGGAGACAGGCAAGCAUGGCAUCUAGUUGAGUCUUUUGGAACUGGAAGAAUGAAAAGUGGUGAGCAAGACCUUCUUAAUGCAGGAUUCUAAUCUAAGACUAUACAGAGUUACUGAAAUUCCCAUUUAUUGUAUUCUCAGUGUAUUGAUAAUACUUACAUUGUUACUUAUCCUUGAGAUCUAAGCAGCAAAAUGGGCCAAGAGUCAUCCCUAUCUUUGAGCUAGUCGAUACUAUAUUCCAGAUAAAUUUUACUAUGUUUCUAAAAAUAUGUAGCUCAACAUUAGAAAAGAUUAUUCUGGCUAUGAAGCACCUACAGAUGCACUAGUCUGAGCUUUUUUACUUCCUCUCCUCUCCCUUUCCCCUUUUCGUCCUUCAGUUCUCUUAUUCUACCCUUACUUUCAAAGGACUUUGGGCUCUAUAAUACAGAAUCCAUUUAAUUCUUUAAGAAAUAACCAUGAAGCAAUGUAAAGGGCAAAGUUGGUAAGAAAAAUCCUCUGACUUCUAUUUUAACAACAACAUCAACAACAACAAAAAACAAAACAAAAAAAAAACAAAAAACAAAAAAAACAGCAAAGCCCUCAAAAUGUAAUUUGGGGGCACUUGCAAAGGCUUUCUCACAAAGAAUAUUAGACAGGAUUUUCAUUAGACUUGGCCUUAUAUAUUAGAAUUCUAUACAGUUGUUGUUACAUUACUCAAAACAGUGGAUGAACAAACUGUCUAGAACUAGCAGUUAUUAAUAUAUCCUCUUCAAAAAAAAAAAAACAGAACAAAACCCAGCUUGAAUGUAUAUGUAAUAAAUAUUGCUUACAAAAGAAGCAACCACACUCUCUUCAAAACACAAAGAAGUCUCACAUAUACCAACCUGCCGGGGGAAGAUAUUUGGCUUGCAAAACAAUCAGUUUUAUCCCCAGAAAAUAGGUCUAAUUUACUGACGGCUAUAAACUGAAUAGUAAAUUGACUCUUUAUUAUAUCAUCUCUCCUAGUAUUACACUAUGAGCCUGGUUCAAGAAUCACUGUCCAGCUGCUCCAUGAAAGCCUGCAUAAAGAUACAUGGACCCUGAAAAUAAUCUAUUUCCCAGUUCUUUGUGGCCCUGGAAAGGCACAGAAUUUAUGGGACUUGUUAGAGAAGCCAGGCUAAUAAAAACAGAAAGAUACCCGAGUGUUCUUGGCAGUACCUUGUUCCUAUAGAUGUAAAAGUGUUUAAGCUUCUCUGUCCAAGAUAAUGUUCUUGCCAUCCAGUGAAUGAAAUCGUAGGAGAAGCUAGCCAAUAAUGUUCAACAAUGCAUUCUAUUUAUUGUACCUAGUAAUAAUUAAAUCUGUCCAAUGAAAAAUGGCAUUUUGUUUAAAACAGUUCCUGUUCCCUUAUUAUCGUUUCUUUUGCCCUAAAAAUGCAAUUGUUAUCUAUUGCACUGACAGUCAUAAAGGUUCUCAGAGGAACACAGUGAUAAGUAUGGCAUAGAAGGGUUGAUAAAACAUUAGUAAUACAAUGAUGUUUUUCACUCUUUUAAACCUUUUGUCAUUCUCUUUUCUAGAGCUAAAUCUUCUAUUAAACAAGGAAAUAAACCGAUAUAAAGAGAGGUGAGGUCCUGCUUUGUUACUCACCCUGGUCUCAAACUCCUGAACUCAAGCCAUCUUCUCACCUCAGUUUCCACCUGAGCCUCUGAAAGCUCUGGGAUUACAGGAUAAUAACCCAACACCCACUGGAUGACAGGUGUGAAAAGAGCUGUAACACGCGUUUCUGCUGGGGAGCAACAGGAGUGAAAAAACCGCUGGACACCACAGGCCCCCGUUUGCUGAGCUAAGGGUGGCAGGAACAAACAAGAACUGUAACACUUCCUGGGGGCUCAGACCUCUGGACUCUCCAAGCAAAAGCUGUAACACUCCUUGGGGCUCUGCGUUUGCUGGCUUCUCCAUGUUUUCGGACGCCAUCGCAUCCCCCUCGUCUAGAUGUCGGCACCCAAGGAGGAAGCCAGUUGCGGCAUGGCUGGACCAGCUGCAGGCUGAGGGCAGAGCUGCAAUGGGCAUAGGAUCCAGGCCAGUAGUGUGAGCUGAGCGCAGCCUGCCGCCGAGUGGGUGGAACGAGCCCACUGGCGAUUUUCAGCUGGUGAAGUGGCACCGAAAGAAUCCUGUAUCAAAUGCACCCAAAUGGGAGUGGAGGGGGAAGGUGAAAUUGAUAGUUUUAGUAUUUUGAAUGCUUGGGGCACUUGCGUCUUAUGAAGCUUGCAAACCAGCCAAUAAGACAGAUGUAAAGUAAUAAUAAUGAUGUAGGCCGAAUGUUCUUGAUUUGGUUUGGCUCUAUGUCCCCACCCAAAUCUCAUGUCGAAUUGUAAUCCCCAAAUGUCAAGGGAGAGACCUAGUGGGAUGUGAUCGGAUCAUGGGGGCAGAUUUCCCCCUUGCUGUUCUUGUGAUAGUAUGUUCUCACGAGAUCUGGUUGUUUGAAAGUAUGUGGCAUUUCCCCCUUCACUAUCUUUCUCUUCUGCUCCACCAUAGACAGACAUACUUGCUUGCCCUUUACCUUCCACCAUGAUUGUAAGCCUCCUAGCCAUGAUUCCUGUACAGCCUGUGGAACUGUGAGUCAAUUAAACCUCUUUUCUUCAUAAAUCACCCAGUCUCAGGUAGAUCUUUAUAGCAGUGUGAGAACAGACUAAUACAGUUCUGAUAAUAAAUAAUAUACCUGAGAAAUAUACACUGAUUUAAUUUUACUUUAGCGAAAGGUAUUUAUGUAAAUAGAAAUAUAAUUGAAUGGAAAGAUGGAUAGAAACAGAUGAUAGAUAUGAAAUUAUAUUUUAGAUAUAUAAUUAUUCAAGUAUAAAAAAGAGUAUCUGAUAAGUUAAUAAAAAAUCUGCAUGUUAAAAUCAGUAAGCAUGAAUGCAAUAAACUCCAUUUGCUAUGAUUACAGUUCUUAUUGUCAGUAUGCAGGAAUUACCAACAACUUUAUAUUGUGCCUGCUACAAGUUCUCAAUAUUGGACAAAAUAAAUAAAAGCCAAAAUAUUUCUUUAAAAAGUUAACUGCAUCCAACAUUGCUAAACACUACAAAGCACCACCUUACAGGGGUAACAUUCAAGUUGAUUAAUAUAAUAUUUUCUCUCACAAGUGGAAUCAUGUCACUAUAACUCAAGGAUACUGAUGAAGAAGUAAUGGCCAAAGUGAAAUUUUUGACAACUGGCAAUAUAGCCAUAUCAUAUAGAUCAUUUCUGUUAUGUUUUGUCAAAGAACCUUAAAUUUUUUCCUAUCUAAACUUUCACCAACAUAAAUAAUAGAUCUCUUUCCAUAUUCUCUGCAAUAACAUUUGCAGUAAAUUUAAUUUAUAAUACUGCACCACGUAUCCAGUGCUGUACUGUCAUUGAGAUUAUUGAAAUGAUAGUUCUGCUAGAUAAUCUAUCAAUCCAAAUGGCAGAACUUGGACCAAUCUCGUCUAUAUUAAAAUUACCUUCCCUGUAAGAAACCUAUAAUUCUUUUCUUCUCUUUCACAACUUUGCCUCUGUUUUGAGUUUUAUGAAUAAUUGCAUUUCUACUGAUCAAAAACAAAUUCUAGUAUACUAGGUACACUGUCAUUGAUCACUAUAAGCACUAAUGUAUGAAUAAAAAUAUGUUUAUGUUUCAAGCUAAAACUGACAUCUCUGUAAUAAGAAAUCAUACACAAUCUAGCACAUUACCAUCCUUCUACCUGGGGAGGGAGAGAACUUGGGCUUUAUAAGAGUCAAGAUUUGAUCUAAUAAAAUAUUGAUGAGUGGCAUGCCUGUCAUUCUCUCAGUGUCCUACAUGCUUUCUCUCUUGUUAAUAUAAUACAUCGAAGGCAUUGCUAUCAAUUAGCGCAGUGUCACAGAAUGCGAAACCAGGACAAAAAUUCUCCAGCUGAAUAUCAUCCUGUUCACAGUAUUGAAUAGUACUGUGGGUACAGUUUGUCUAGGAUGGAUAAGGGUAAAAUAAUAUAGAACAUUUAAAAAUUAUUUUUAUUGUGAUUUAAAAUGGUUACUCGUUUCAACUCUGGAAACUAGUUUCACAGUUUUUUCCUCUAGAGGGGCAUUAGUUGGGUCGAUUCUUACUAAGUCCUUACUAAGCAAGAGAAAAACCAUGCACAGGAAUCUCCAAACUGGAACUUCUUUUCAGAAUAUUUUGGAACGCUAGUAGACCAAAACCUAAAAUAAAAAUGUAGCUGCAGCACUUAAGCAACUAACUUUGUGGACUAAACUUAUUGAUAUUCUAACUAAAUUAGUUGGUUAUUUGGUGUAACAUGAUCCUAGGAAUUGGAAAUUCGAAGUCAAGUCCUCAGUGUCCAUGUCCUUUAACUUCACUGAUACUUGAAAAGAUGGGGAGUCUUUCUUCAAAAUGGAGAGAAAGGUUAUUCCUUAUUCCUUGAGAAGGCAUUUGAAACAAAUAGAAAAAAUAAAUAAAUAAUUGACAAUGAAAACUGGCAGCAUCUUUCAAACAAUACCCUGGCUGAAAAUAUCAAUCAAUUAAAAACCUUGCAUUUUAAAAAUUGAAAAAGGAAAUCGUAGCGCACACUUAGUGGUGCCAUUUAUGAAAGUACAAGGAGAAAACCUCUUAGUGGUCUGGGUUCUGAUGUAAGCCUACUGAAUUUUGAGAGAAGAAACCCAAAGAUGAAUGCCAAUGAAAAGUAAUAGGUUCUCUCAGUUAUGUUUCAUAUUUAGACAGUAUCAACAACACCAAAAUAUUCAAACAGGUCAACUGGGUAGAAAAAUAAUUAGUUAUUUCCCAUUGACUAGAUAAGCAACUUGUUUAACUGCUUUUACUUCAUUUGGUAACCUGUUAGUAUUACAUAAUACAAACAUAGCUGUAUUUUAAAAAUAGUAAACCAAAGUUUUGUUACAGAAUAAGCCACAACAUAUAGCUGUGAGUGUUAGGGUUUUCAUAAAGAAAUGGAUUGCCAUUUUUUCCAGUUUAUUUCAAAGCAGCUGAUUCAGACAUUAGAGGAAUCAUUUAUAGAAGAAAGAUGCAUUAAUUCCUAUUAGGUAAAAGGCUGUCUCUGGCUAUGCAUAGGGUUAAAAAAAUAAUGCUCAAGAAAUGAGUCCAAUGAACUUUGUAUAUACUUACCUUUCAUUGUUUUUACACAAUUUGAAAGUAUUAAGCAAAUAAUUUACUAUCCCUGGGGGUGGGGGGAGGGAGAAAUAAAUCAGCCAGCCAAAGAUCUGAUUCUUGUUGUUUGUUUUGUUGUAAUUUAAUUGUAUUUUUCAAAUAGGUAGUUCAAUCAUAUGGUGCAAAGAGAAAACAAUAUUAAAAGACAGAAAUUAAGAAGUUCUCUUUUGUUCCUGUCAUUGUCCAAACCAUUCUUACCCACAAAGCCCUGUCACUUUAAUUAGUUUCUAGUAUAGCCUCCCAGUAUUUCUGCAUAUAGAUAAAGAAUAUAUAACAUGACUAGACACACAGAAUAUAUAAGUAUAUAUUCUUAUGUGUAAAAUUAUUUUCUUUUAAGAAUUUUAAAAUUACCUUUUAAGAAUAAGAAUAUAAAUAUUUUUAUUUUAAAAACUGACAGACGUAAAAUUUACUUUUUUUGUGGUACAGUUCUAUGAGUUCUAACAGAGUAUAGAUUUGUAGAACUACCUCCACACUCGGAAGAAAGAUGAGUUCCAUCAUUCCCCAAAUCUCCCAUGGUACUUCUCUGUGAUUAUGCCCUCUCUCCAUCCCAAACCCCUGGCAGCCAUUCAUCUGUUCUCUCUUGUUAAAGUUUUAUCUUUUUAAGUAUGCCAUAUAAAUGGAAUUACACACACACACACACACACACACACACACACACAUAUGUAAUCUUUUAUGAUUGGCUGCUGUUGCUUAACAUAAUGUAUUUAAGAUGCAUCUAAAUUUAUGUAUCUCAUCAGCAACUUGUGGGAGCACCUGUUCCUCCAAAGUGUCACUAAAAAAGCAUUUUGUCAAACUUGGCUCUUUCGUUCCUUCUAGUUGUUUAGAGUUAUCUGUAAGACACUAGAAAACAAUCAUUCUGGGUAAACACAAUUCCUUGUUUUUCAUUCUAAUUUGAUAAAGAAUACAUACACACAAAGUGUUAGGUUGUCAUAAGACAAGGCAAGAACUCUGGUGCUUAAUCACUCAACGUGGACCACUUUGUCUAGAAAAUUGCUUUAAAAGACCAAAAAAAUGUUUCAAACAGUAAUAUGAAUAUGGUUUAUAAAGUGUGUCUGAUCUCAUUUUAUGAAUUUAACACCUUCACCUGUUUUAUGCAUCCAUUCCUUUCCCAAUGUUUUAUUUUAUUGAAUAUGUACACGUUCUUUUUAAACACAAAACCAAAAGCAUUUUCUCCCAAAUAUUAUGGACAUUUCAACAGAAUUAUAUUUGUUUACUUGACUUUUUAUUGAAUUACUUUGCUAACUAUCUUCAUUUCCCAUUUUAGUUUGCCAAAAUAAAGCAAAAGUUCUUAGGAGGAAAGUUUCAACUGAGACUAUUUUUUCUAACACAGGGACUUCUAAAUGUGGUCUUAGUUUAAGUCCUGGGACUCAUAGUUAUUGCAACAACUAUAUCCAAUAUUUAACAUUUAAUUUUUCUCAUUAACCUUGAAACUUAUUACUAAUUCUUCAGUUACUCUCUCAUAUUCAUCUUAAUCAUAGAAAGUUUGUUGUCAUUUCCUAUCAUAUUUUAAUUCAUUAUUUAUGAAAAGAGUAAUUUCAAUUUGCCUUUAAGCAUUAACUCUGGAUUUUUCAGGAUUUUCUAUUUCUUUUAAGUGUUGGUUCUGUAGUUGAAAUGACUAUUUAAGGGCCACUAUUCUCUUAUAAACAUAUAUUUUGGGGGCUUUUAGAAACAAAUUAUGUAAAAAUAUAAUUAUGGGCCUUAUAUGAGAGUUAAAGACAACUAUUUAUUUUUGACCUGUGCUACUAUGUGGGAAAAAUCAUACUUUUUAAAUGAAAUGAGAAUAACAUACCCAGUAUUAGAAAAAUGUUUAAGGCUAACUCCAAUUAUAGUAUCAAAAUAUAAUCAACGUAAUAACUCUAAUUACAAUAAAUUAUUUAAAAACAGGUAUAAAUCAGACCAAUUUUUAUGUGAGCUUUAAAUAGUCUGAAAUAGUUUUAUUGCAAUUAAACCUCAUGAAUCAUGCAAGUUUCUAGUCAAAUAAAAUUAUUUUAUUUGCCUACUAUUGCUAAUUUUAUACUUUAGCACAACUUGAAGGUCAUAGCAAAAAUAUAUACACUAAGAAAAACCUCUCAAUUUGUUUGUAAUUGUCCAGUUUAUUCUGUUUCCUUAUUACAAAUUUAUUUUUGUGAUAUUCUAAUAUAGGUUUGUCCUGGGUUUAUGUAGAUGAGUUAUAAAAAUAAAAAUAAUUUCUGACUCAAUUAUUAUAAGCAAUGAAUAUGUACAGGUAACAAUUACUUCUUUUAGCAAUUUUUAAAGGGGUUAUACUACACAUAAGCGCUUCAUAUGUUCAGUGUUGAAUGGUAUGUUUUCAGUGGAACUUUGAUAAAAUUGAUUGUAUCCCGAG
This 7811-nucleotide long non-coding RNA is filed under the name Homo sapiens (human). Its description in RNAcentral is "HSALNT0139059". Lineage: Eukaryota; Metazoa; Chordata; Mammalia; Primates; Hominidae. The record is from RNAcentral.